GUCGAACGGGAAAUAUUUCAUUGAGACUUCGGUGGAUUUGAUCUAUUUCUAGUGGCGGACGGGUGAGUAACGCGUGGGUAACCUGCCUUAUACAGGGGGAUAACAGUCAGAAAUGGCUGCUAAUACCGCAUAAGCGCACAGAGCUGCAUGGCUCAGUGUGAAAAACUCCGGUGGUAUAAGAUGGACCCGCGUUGGAUUAGCUAGUUGGUGGGGUAACGGCCCACCAAGGCGACGAUCCAUAGCCGGCCUGAGAGGGUGAACGGCCACAUUGGGACUGAGACACGGCCCAGACUCCUACGGGAGGCAGCAGUGGGGAAUAUUGCACAAUGGGGGAAACCCUGAUGCAGCGACGCCGCGUGAAGGAAGAAGUAUCUCGGUAUGUAAACUUCUAUCAGCAGGGAAGAUAGUGACGGUACCUGACUAAGAAGCCCCGGCUAACUACGUGCCAGCAGCCGCGGUAAUACGUAGGGGGCAAGCGUUAUCCGGAUUUACUGGGUGUAAAGGGAGCGUAGACGGUGUGGCAAGUCUGAUGUGAAAGGCAUGGGCUCAACCUGUGGACUGCAUUGGAAACUGUCAUACUUGAGUGCCGGAGGGGUAAGCGGAAUUCCUAGUGUAGCGGUGAAAUGCGUAGAUAUUAGGAGGAACACCAGUGGCG
This 655-nucleotide ribosomal RNA is filed under the name uncultured Lachnospiraceae bacterium. RNAcentral describes it as "bacterial SSU rRNA". It matches the Rfam family "Bacterial small subunit ribosomal RNA", at positions 61 to 717 of the family's 1533-position model. The record is from RNAcentral. Lineage: Bacteria; Bacillati; Bacillota; Clostridia; Lachnospirales; Lachnospiraceae.